GGAAUAUUGCGCAAUGGGCGGAAGCCUGACGCAGCGACGCCGCGUGGGGGAUGACGGCCUUCGGGUUGUAAACCUCUUUCGCCCUCGACGAAGGCCUUCGGGGUGACGGUAGGGGGAGAAGAAGCACCGGCCAACUACGUGCCAGCAGCCGCGGUAAUACGUAGGGUGCGAGCGUUGUCCGGAAUUAUUGGGCGUAAAGAGCUCGUAGGCGGUGUGUCGCGUCGGUCGUGAAAACUUGGGGCUUAACCCUGAGCUUGCGGUCGAUACGGGCAUCACUUGAGUUCGGCAGGGGAGACUGGAAUUCCUGGUGUAGCGGUGAAAUGCGCAGAUAUCAGGAGGAACACCGGUGGCGAAGGCGGGUCUCUGGGCCGAUACUGACGCUG
RNAcentral lists this ribosomal RNA (383 nucleotides) under uncultured bacterium. RNAcentral's name for it is "bacterial SSU rRNA". It matches the Rfam family "Bacterial small subunit ribosomal RNA", at positions 358 to 748 of the family's 1533-position model. The record is from RNAcentral.